RNAcentral lists this ribosomal RNA (406 nucleotides) under uncultured bacterium. RNAcentral's name for it is "partial 16S ribosomal RNA". It matches the Rfam family "Bacterial small subunit ribosomal RNA", at positions 30 to 526 of the family's 1533-position model. The record is from RNAcentral.
AUUGAACGCUGGCGGCAGGCCUAACACAUGCAAGUCGAACGAGUGGCGGACGGGUGAGCAAUGUCUGGGAAACUGCCUGAUGGAGGGGGAUAACUACUGGAAACGGUAGCUAAUACCGCAUACCAUCGGAUGUGCCCACAGGGGAGUAGCUAGUAGGUGGGGUAAAGGCUCACCUAGGCGACGAUCCCCAGCUGGUCUGAGAGGAUGACCAGCCACACUGGAACUGAGACACGGUCCAGACUCCUACGGGAGGCAGCAGUGGGGAAUAUUCGACAAUGGGCGCAAGCCUGAUGCAGCCAUGCCGCGUGUAUGAAGAAGGCCUUCGGGUUGUAAAGUACUUUCAGCGGGGAGGCGUUACCCACAGAAGAAGCACCGGCUAACUCCGUGCCAGCAGCCGCGGUAAUUC